This is an unclassified non-coding RNA of Microcebus murinus (gray mouse lemur), 139 nucleotides long. The record is from Ensembl. NCBI's taxonomy places the organism in Eukaryota, Metazoa, Chordata, Mammalia, Primates, Cheirogaleidae.
UGUCAUUGAGCUGCAUCUGGAUACGGGAUAAUUCUGCUCUGGUGCUUCCCUCCUCUACCGUUCAUCUGUUGAGCUUUUUGCAGCCAAAGACUUUUACCCAAAAAUGAACCUGAAAAGGGAGGAAGACACCAGUCACUUC